UACAUUGUGGAUACAAAUGCACAUGGAGUUUAGUUAGUGGGAGAAGCUCCCAACCUAAACACUUUGAGACACAAAUAGUCAAGUGAAACCAAUUGAUUCGCUUAAAUUUCGAUGCAUCCGUGGUCUAUUUAAAAAUGCACGAAGAAAAGAAGUGCUUGCAGACAGCAGAGGACGAUAAUGUAUCAAAGCUUGGCGUGACAGAGCAAGGCCUAACUGAAGAAGAGGUUGCAGUUUAUGAUCGUCAAAUCAGGUUAUGGGGCGUUGAAUCACAGAGAAGAUUGAGGAAGUCAAGAAUUUUGAUAUGUGGCCUUAGUGGCUUGGGAAAUGAGGUAUCUAAGAACAUCAUUCUGGCUGGUGUUCAGCAUCUCACUGUUAUGGAUAACACAGAGGUAACAAAAGAGAACAGGAGAGAACUUUUUCUCCCUAGCAAAAACAGUAUUGGACAAAAUAAAGCUGAUGCUGUCUAUCCCCGGUUGCAUGAAAUGAAUCCAAUGGUAGAUUUGCAUGCAUACAAUGAAGACAUUUCUUCAAAGCCUGAAUCAUUCUUUGAGAAUUUUGAUGUGGUCUGUUUGCUUGAUCAACGGAAAGAUGUACAGCUCAAGGUCAAUGAAAUAUGCCACAAAAAGAACAUCAAGUUUUUAUCAGGCUGUGUCUUUGGGCACUAUGGAUAUAUGUUUUCAGACCUUGGAAAACACCACUUUGUGGAGGAGAAAGUUAGGGUUGAUACAGGAUCCGUGAAAAAAUCAAAUGAGCCAGCAGCCAAAAGACAAAAGUUAGAGUCAAGGGCAGAUGAAGAUGUUCAUGAAAUGGUACACAAGGCCAUAGAGUUCAAGAAUUUUCAAAGUGCAGUGUCCCCGAAGGCCAUUCAUGGAUUGUCCCUUAAACAGCUGAAAAGUAUUUCAAAAACCUACUUCGUCAUGCAAGUUAUGCUAGAGUUCAGCAUGGCAAAAGGCAGAUUCCCUAGAGUUGAGCAUAAAGGAAAAGAUUGGAAAGAUCUCCUAGAUAUUAGAGAUUCAAUUUUUGAAGAAAUGCAAAUCGACAACGACAUGUUGCCUGACGAAUUCGUAAGUCAUUGCAUUGGUGAAGUUACUGCUGUCAGUUGCAUUGUGGGUGGAAUUCUGGCUCAAGAAAUUAUUAAAGCCGUGUCAGGACGAGACUCGCCUCACAAUAACUUUUUCUUCUAUGAUGGGGUAGAUAGUACGGGACUUGUUGAUAACAUCGGAACUGACUGAAUACAGUCUUCGGUCGUGUAAAACGAGCCUUCCUAAUGCUAUUUACCAAGUGUGUUCAAGAAAGGGAAAUCAUUUAAAAGAUUGUGCCUUUGGAAAAUUCACAGACUAAUCGUUUCAGAUUGUAACACAACGUUGUCUGAGCAACACCACUUUGAGAAGCGCACGUCAAUCUAGAGUUUGCGAUCUUCUACUAUGACAGAUGAGAUUUUCAUCGUUUGAUGUGAGGUUUUCAUGAAAUCACGAGACUGUAUCGAUUUCAUCUAACUCUUCGAAUCUUCUUGGAAUAGUGAUAUCGAGGCAAGAUCAUGAUGUCGCGUUUGUUUACAAACUCGCUUUUGCUGUUUUCGUUGUAUAUAGAGUUUAUUCUUAUUAUUUCUAUUACGGACACUUACGCUAGACGUAGGUCGCGUUCCGCAUUGCGACCAGAGGACCUGAAAACUAGUGAUGAGUUCCUUGAAAAAUUCAUCAAUGACUACAACCCACAGCGUCAGUUUUGUCGCGGGAAAUUUAUCAAGCAGGUCAUAUCUCAUCCUGGUUGUAUUUCAAAGCCGAUUGUCAACAAAAUGUGCUACGGCAUGUGCAAAUCUGCGUAUGUGCCAGAAGAUAGCAAGGACGUUAAGCCACGCAAGGCCCUCUGUGUGCAAUGCCAGCCAGCAUCGAUGAUUUGGACUACAGUCGUCUUGAACUGCCCGAAACGAAAGGAAAGGGUUAUCAUGAAGAAAGUUCGUAAAAUUCGCAAAUGCCAUUGCUGGUCAGAUAAGAUUCAGGUGCCGCUUAUGGUGAUACCUGACCCAAAAUCGGUCAUGAAAGUAAUGGCCUGGCUUAAAGGUUUCAAAUAAGCCCCACAAGUUGAUACCAGUCGAAGUAGCUAUAACGGGUAUUUGUACACAAGAGUUUUUUGUUACUUGCCACAAAAGCUUCUUCUGAAUAGUUAUAUGGUGAUCUAGCUGGAAGCAGUAUACCUAACAAGUGAAUGCUGUUAACUGUGGCAAUAAUUUAAUGUCGAGACGAAAGUUUGUUAUCAGUUUUACUCUACGAAAGAAUCGAGUAAGUUCAAUCAAACUAGAAAUUGAUGCAAUAUUUACUGUAUUUUUGAUAGCGUGUCUGGUCGAAUCUGUAUGCUUGGAUAUGCCUUUGCAGUUGCAGUAUAUACGGGACAUUUCAGUGGCUUUUAGCAGCACUGUUAGUAAGGCAGGAAGAUAAAGGCUUGCUGAAUGAUGAACUAAAGUCUUGGUUUCCUCCUUCAAAGGCUCAAAAAACUUGAUUGACUUCUGAGAGAUCUUGUAGAUGCGUAGCUAUAUUUCUGCUUAUGUAUUUACAAACCUUUAUAAGACUUUUAUGAGACGUAAUGUUGCUUUGGCUCUUCAUUCUCGGUCUUUAGAGUAUUUUUUCCUUGACAACGAUUCUACGAGCGUCUGCAUUUUUUCAACGGUAAGCCUUUCUGUAUAAAGCAAUACCUUUCCCUUCAUCCUUUUUGUCCCUAUUGAUAAAUUUCGAUUUCAUGCUUUUCAAUGUUGCUGGAAUACUGCAAUAUUCACUAGCAUACGAGGAGCGACGAGAAUUUUUGGUUAAUCAUAUGAGCAAAUUUAUUCCAUCUCUCAACCCAUAACUUGACUGGUGGGGCGAAAUCAUCGAAUGUUUACAUGUAGAUUCUUUCCCAACUUCCAACUCUAUAUAGGGAACAAGUUGGACGAAAUUUCAUCGUGUUUAUAUGAAAAUUUCAUCCCAUCUUCCAGCUUCAUCUCACCUAUCAGCGUUUAUAUGGAAAAAUUAAAUCCGUGUCAGUGAGAUCCCACCUCUCAUGCAGUGAGAUCUCACUUAACCGAGCUGGCUUGUUUUCCAUUUAAACGCAAGGCAAAAAAACGCAAAAGACUCUAUAGAAAAAUGGGAUCUCACCCUUCAGCUCACAGGCUGGAAGGUGGGAUGAUUUUCUCCAUAUAGACAGGCCAGUGGUGGCGCUAGUGGGGGCUACAGCCCCUCUGUCGGAAGCAUCUAGCCCCCCCCCCCAUCGUAGGAAAUUUUAGGUUAUUGUCGGAGCAAAUUUGACAAAAUAACGUACGAAAGCUGCUUAUUUUAAUCAUUUUAGCCCCCCUGUUGGAAGCUCCAGCCCCUCUGUCGGAAGAUUUCUGGCGCCACCUCUGAGACAGGCCCUAAGUAUACAAUUUUAAAUAUUCUAAGGUACUGCAGCUCCUAACCCCCUCCCCUCCUACGGUUAUGUUUCCAGAUUUCAUUGCUCAGUGGUUACUAUUCGAUCGUUAAUAUGUCGUUCGCUUUUAAUUGCAACAUGCCAUUUCCAAAAAAACUUUUCGUCACUCCCUAGAGCUUGUUUUAUAGCGCUAUUGUCAGUGGUAACGUGACUGUAAGCACACGACGCUUUUUCCUUUUAAGCAGCAAGAAAAAAUUGUUUGUUUAUUUGUAUCAAAGAACACAAAUUUCUUCUUUCCAAAUUAUUGAACUUCAAUAUUAUUCCUUCUUGUGAGGCCUUCGUAUUGUAAAAAAGUAAUUUUGUUUUAUAAUAUAAUUCACUGAUAUGUAUUUUAUCAUUAAAUGUGAAUGAAAA
Rhopilema esculentum is the source of this 3792-nucleotide RNA transcript. It is a transcript of the gene named SUMO-activating enzyme subunit 1, with no coding region annotated. The record is from RefSeq and is a predicted model, not a curated record. NCBI's taxonomy places the organism in Eukaryota, Metazoa, Cnidaria, Scyphozoa, Rhizostomeae, Rhizostomatidae.